AGAUCAUUCUCAAAAUUCUGAUGUUCUUCCACAUUUAUCUCCAGCACCAUGAAAAACUACCUUUUGCAUCAAGGGAGAUGGUCUCCUCCUAGCCUCACUAUCCUCGGUCGUUCUUAAUUCCCCACCAUUACUUCAACUACAAGAAAUCUCAGUUCCAAGGGUUCCAAUUUCUGCAUUUUGAAUUGGUAAUCCCAAUUCACCAACAUUACUCCGAGAAUCUUCAGAUAUAUGGAUGUUAGUUUUUAAUGCUUGAAUCGACUCCAACAUCCUACCCAUUUGCUCUUGAACCAACCUG
Molecule: unclassified non-coding RNA, 295 nt
Filed under: Hevea brasiliensis (rubber tree)
Lineage: Eukaryota; Viridiplantae; Streptophyta; Magnoliopsida; Malpighiales; Euphorbiaceae
Source: RNAcentral